Molecule: ribosomal RNA, 445 nt
Filed under: uncultured bacterium
Lineage: Bacteria
Description: partial 16S ribosomal RNA
Rfam family: Bacterial small subunit ribosomal RNA
Source: RNAcentral
GUGAGGAAUAUUGGUCAAUGGGCGGGAGCCUGAACCAGCCAAGUCGCGUGAAGGAAGAAGGAUCUAUGGUUCGUAAACUUCUUUUGCAGGGGAAUAAAGUGCAGGACGUGUCCUGUUUUGUAUGUACCCUGAGAAUAAGGAUCGGCUAACUCCGUGCCAGCAGCCGCGGUAAUACGGAGGAUCCGAGCGUUAUCCGGAUUUAUUGGGUUUAAAGGGUGCGUAGGUGGUUUGAUAAGUCAGCGGUGAAAGUUUGCAGCUUAACUGUAAAAAUGCCGUUGAAACUGUCGGACUUGAGUGUAAAUGAGGUAGGCGGAAUGCGUGGUGUAGCGGUGAAAUGCAUAGAUAUCACGCAGAACUCCGAUUGCGAAGGCAGCUUACUAAGCUACAACUGACACUGAAACACGAAAGCGUGGGGAUCAAACAGGAUUAGAAACCCCGGUAGUCC